Molecule: ribosomal RNA, 301 nt
Filed under: uncultured bacterium
Lineage: Bacteria
Description: partial 16S ribosomal RNA
Rfam family: Bacterial small subunit ribosomal RNA
Source: RNAcentral
CAGCAGCCACGGUAAUACGAAGGGGGCUAGCGUUGCUCGGAAUCACUGGGCGUAAAGGGUGCGUAGGCGGGUCUUUAAGUCAGGGGUGAAAUCCUGGAGCUCAACUCCAGAACUGCCUUUGAUACUGAAGAUCUUGAGUUCGGGAGAGGUGAGUGGAACUGCGAGUGUAGAGGUGAAAUUCGUAGAUAUUCGCAAGAACACCAGUGGCGAAGGCGGCUCACUGGCCCGAUACUGACGCUGAGGCACGAAAGCGUGGGGAGCAAGCAGGAUUAGAUACCCCGGUAGUCCCUGUCUCUUAUAU